Phyllopteryx taeniolatus (common seadragon) is the source of this 975-nucleotide long non-coding RNA. RefSeq lists it as uncharacterized. The transcript has 4 exons. Lineage: Eukaryota; Metazoa; Chordata; Actinopteri; Syngnathiformes; Syngnathidae. The record is from RefSeq and is a predicted model, not a curated record.
GUGCGCGUGUGUGUAACCUGGAUGUUGAGGCUGGACACGACCACGUCUCCUGUCGGCGUGAUGAUCGGCAGAUUCUCACAUCGAAUACCCUUCUCCACACUGACUACCUGACCUGCAGCAGGAUGACAUGACAACACAAAGAGCUCAGUGCUCCCUAGGCUACCAACCUCCGCUGUUUUCCUCAGAAGAGAGCGAGAUAGCAGUCCCCUCUGUGCAGAACCACAUGCGGCGGCGUUCCAAGAUCUGGAGACAGGCCUGCUCCGUUCUGCUCCACGCCCACACAAGGUCUUGGUUGUAAGCCAACUGUCGCCGCACCACUGCGCCUGCUUACGCUGUUGGCCAGAAGGUGUGGUAAUGUGCCAAGACUUUGCCAAUUAAGGUGGACUCCAGAAAAUUGGCUCCCCGGUUCAUUGGCCCUGAUGAGAUCGCGGCCUUGGUGAACCAAUGUGCUGUUAUCGAUGGGGAGGCUGCCUACUUGGUGAACAAGCUGCUGGAUGUCCGUCGCCGUGGGAGGGGCUUCCACUACCUGGUUGACUUGGAGGGCUAUGGACCAGAGGAGCGGAGCUGGGUCUCCUGCCCAGCAGGUUCUGAGCAAGGUCCUGAGCCGUGACUUCCAUCGUCGGCACCUGGGACUCUCGGGUUGUGCGCAGGGUGGCGCACGUAGGGGUCGGGGUACUGUCAGGGCUGCUGCCCCUCUGUGUGUGUGUGUGUGUGUGUGCUCGCAGGUGCAGGAGUACAAGUGGAGAGACGAGUUGGAGCUAUGAUUCAUUAUCAUCAACGGUGUACUUAAGUCGGUCCCUAACGCCACCUCGUUGCCAGAUCAUCUUGUAUAGUCACACUAAUCUCCACGCCUGCUUCCUUGUCUGCACACCUGCUUGCCUGCGGAGUCCCUCCACGCCUGCCUACUUGCCUGCAGACCUUCUUGUCGACUGAAGCCCUCUACGCCAGUUUCUUCACCUUCACACCUGCCUGCCC